RNAcentral lists this ribosomal RNA (460 nucleotides) under uncultured bacterium. Its description in RNAcentral is "partial 16S ribosomal RNA". It matches the Rfam family "Bacterial small subunit ribosomal RNA", at positions 28 to 507 of the family's 1533-position model. The record is from RNAcentral.
GACGAACGCUGGCGGCGUGCUUAACACAUGCAAGUCGAGCGGUAAGGCCUCUUCGGGGGUACACGAGCGGCGAACGGGUGAGUAACACGUGGGUGACCUGCCCUCAGCUCUGGGAUAAGCCUGGGAAACUGGGUCUAAUACCGGAUAUGACCUUUCCUCGCAUGGGGUUUGGUGGAAAGUUUUUUCGGCUGGGGAUGGGCCCGCGGCCUAUCAGCUUAUUGGUGGGGUGAUGGCCUACCAAGGCGACGACGGGUAGCCGGCCUGAGAGGGCGACCGGCCACACUGGGACUGAGACACGGCCCAGACUCCUACGGGAGGCAGCAGUGGGGAAUAUUGCGCAAUGGGCGGAAGCCUGACGCAGCGACGCCGCGUGGGGGAUGACGGCCUUCGGGUUGUAAACCUCUUUCGACCCCGACGAAUUUGGACGGUAGGGGUAGAAGAAGCACCGGCCAACUACGUG